RNAcentral lists this long non-coding RNA (22597 nucleotides) under Xyrichtys novacula (pearly razorfish). Lineage: Eukaryota; Metazoa; Chordata; Actinopteri; Labriformes; Labridae. The record is from RNAcentral.
GUUCACACUUGUAUACUUAUUAAGCAAUCAAUUAAGUGUUGCAUUUUUGCUCUGCAGUUUAUAAUGACAUUUCACUGUUUUGUAUUUCACCUCAAUAACAUACAUAACAAAGUAAAGAGAGGGCCUUCGUGCAUUUUCUCUCCAUCUUAAACAUUUUUUACAGGCCAAGGGAGCUGCAGUAACAUCCUUUUACUAAUCAAGGGCUACCGAUUGUAGACUUUGAUAAGAAAUGAGAAAACUAAUGAUCCACACUGAAAAGCGGUGUGAUUACAGUAAACUAUGAGUUACUGAUUUUUUUUGCAACUAAAUUUAUUUACUUUUUGUCCCUGUCUUUUCUCUCCUGAACUCAACGCUAUGUCUACUGCUGGCCCUGUUCACUGUUGGCGACUCAGCUGUAAGUUCACAAAUAAAGUAACUUUAAAAUAUAUUUUUACUGUUACUUUUCACAACACAUUAUCUAAAAACCUGACCUAAAUAACACUUUAUUUUAACUAAUGCAGAAACAAAUGGAAAUAAUUUUGCUGGCUGAUCACUGUUGGAAUUACAAUGCAGUGAGAUGUGCUGGUUUUGUACAAUUAAAAUAAAAAUCUCUUGUCACUGUUUUUCCAUUUUCCUUCUUGCCAACUCUAUCCUGUCUCCAAGUGCAGACCGCUUUGUGGCGACUCGACGUAAGUUCACACAGGAAUGACAUUUUCAUGAAUAAUACAGUGUGCCUUUAUUCAACACAUUAUGGACCCCUCAUCAUGUACUAACUUGACGAUUUUUUCCCUUUGAUUAUGUAAUAUUCACAGUUGGACAUGAACAGCUUGAAUGUUAUAUGCAAUACACUUAUUUGCAUUUUAUUUCCAAUCAUUGGAAAGCAAUUUGUUACUAUUAAAUUGUGGAGUUGUAAUUUUUUUAAUGAUGAAUAUCCAAAUAGUUACUUAUCAUUGUGAUUCCUUACGUUGUGAUUACUUCGUUGGAAAACUUAAAACACAGUAAAGGAAAUUACAUUUCCUAAAAUACAUUAUUAUUUUAUUAGCAUAGUAAUCCAUUGUUAUUAUUGCUUAACAGGACAUGGUUAUGAACAUUAUAAAGGGAACUUUAGAUGAUUUCUAAGAGUCUAAAAUUUUUUUGUAAAAAAAAAUUCUUCUCUUUUUGUAAAAUACUUUGAGGUCCUAAAUUUAAAAAGCUGGCUAUGUGGUUGGAUUCAAGUUGGACUCAGUGUAGGAUGUGGUAGAGAGAUGUACGCUGAGAAGGUGGAGACUAUUUUAAAGAACAUGGAUUACCCACUUCAUAACACCUUGAUGGACCAAAGGGCCUAAGGUGGUGGACGGCUCCUCUCUCUUCGCUGCAGGACAAAAAGAUUCAGAAGGUCUUUUGUACCCACAGCCAUCAGACUUUACAAUUCUUUUAAAAAUAGUAGAUGACUUUUGGAGAUAUGACAAAUGAGACUACAAUCAAAUUUCCCUUCAGGGAAAUAAUAAAUAAAUAAUAAUAAUAAUAAAUAAUAAUUUCCCUUCAGGGAAAUAAUAAAGUUCUCCUUACCUUAAAUACAUUUUUAAUAAAAUACGAGUGUAUGAGCACUUUGGAUUUUUAGUUCUUAUUAAUUUGAUUGAUGGGUUAUCAAACAGGGCAAUUGCCAAUUCCAGGGUUUGACUCAACUUGGCUUUUGAUAGAUGUAUAGUUAAGGAUAGCCAUAUGGUGGAUUAAGUAAAAGCACAUAAUAAUGACAUUAGCUUUGGGUGGAUGUUGGUUCAUUUUGUUUCUCUUAUAAAAAAUGAUUCAUGUUUGUUUUCAUUGUGUCUUACAGGUAUCGUGUCCAGUCUCCCCACUCUCCCCUAUCUUUUUGGCCGCUCUGACUUUCCUGUCUCCUCCACCUCUCUGUCUUAUUGAAAAGCCACUCUAUCUUGUGUCCCCCUUUUCUCUAUCCCUCUAGCUAAAUUUUGGACGCUCUGACUUUCCUGUCUCCUCUACCGCUCUAUCUAAUUGAAAAGCCACUCUAUCUUGUGUCCCCCUUUUCUCUAUCCCUCUGACUAAGUUUGGUUACUCUGACUUUCCUGUCUCCUCUACCGCUCUAUCUGAUUGAUCAGCUUUUCAGAAACCAUUGUGACAAGCCUUUCAGAAACCAUUGUGACAAGCUUUUCAGAAACCAGUGUACCAGAAACCUCUGAGAAACCAGUGUACCAGAAACCUCUGAGAAACCAGUGUACCAGAAACCUCUGAGAAACCAGUGUACUAGAAACCUUUCAGAAACCAGUGUACCAGAAACCUCUGAGAAACCAGUGUACCAGAAACCUCUGAGAAACCAGUGUACCAGAAACCUCUGAGAAACCUAUUGAAGCAAGCUACCUUUUUUUGAGCAACCAUUGAAACAACCUACCUUUGAGAAACCUAUUGAAACAAGCUACCUUAUUUUGAGAAACCAAACUUUUGAAAAGCUGUACAUUUAAUACAACCACUGUUUUGAAAAAUCCCCAAUUUUGCAAAAGUCUGACUGUUGUUCUAGGUCCUCCUUUCCUGUCUGUGGAUCCAGAGUUUCACCGGAAGUGUCAUCAGCACAACCACAUCUGCAUCCCUGAUUUUGAAAGAAAAAAAAAAAGUUCCAUAUAGAAUAUUUGAGUUAGAUAUUAUUUCAAGCACAAAGCGCUAAGAUUUAAAAAUUGUUGUUGAUUUGUGUUUUUUCUGAAAACAUUUAUAUAGUCUUGUGUAGGAUUUCCUUAUAAAACAUUUGAUAAACUAUUGUGGUAUACACAUAGUUAUAAAUUAGAAUUUUGGAGACUAUAAGAGCUGUUAAAUAACGUCCUCUUGAAGAAAUAAAGCAUUUUUGUCUUCACUGGUGCUUAUCAGUAAUUUAAUUGUUGCAUAAACACAUUGUUGUGAACGAAUAGUUACAAUGCCAAGGAAGAGUAAGAAGUCACAGGCUGCAAGCCAGCGCUGGCAGAGGGUUCAUGACAUUGACUUUGUGAGUACUGGACAAGCAGAUGGUGUUCCUCAGAGCAAUGGAGAGGUAAAGAGGUCUGAAGUGUCUGAUGCUGUGAAACAGGGAGGUGAAAAUGCAUCAUGUCAACCACGGGUAUCUUAUGAAGACGUUCUCAAGAGGAGACGUGUAAGUGAGUCACCUGCAGCAGGUCCGUCUAACUCUGAACAGGUAAAACACAGAGGUGAAAGUAAUGAUCCAGGUGUACAACAGGUAACAUAUGCAGACAUGUUGAAGAGAAAACUUCCUCGUGUGUCACGUACUGCUGGUCCGUCCAACUCUCCUCAGGUUAACUACAUAGCCCAAACUGACAAGCCAUUUUCAACCCAGGUAUCGUAUCCAGACACAGUUAACCACCGUAAUUAUCAGUCUGUUUCAGCCUCUUCUCAGGCAGGAAAUAUUAAUCAGUCAGGUGAACAAAAUGUCUGUGCGUCACGCAGCCAAGCGUCUCUGAAAUACGGCCGAUCCAGAAACCAGCAGUGCACCUGUAACUCACUGACAUUUCUAGCAUUCCUGAAUGAGAAAGAACACAUCACCAGAGCAGAUCUGGACCGUGUUUUGGAUAAAGGUGAUGCGAUGUACAGAGAAAUCAGAAAAACUGUUGAUCACGCCCAUCUGACAACCGAUGAGCUCCCUGACCAGGUUCCUGCCCGCAGACACAUGCUGACUGUUGACAAGUUACAGCUGUCUAGAUACGGUACGUUUGGAGAUCCGGAUCCCGGAGCUGUUGAUACCUUUCUGGACCUCGAGAUGGGACUGAGCUGUUUAUUAUCAGAUGUGCAGUAUGCUUUGCUGCUAAUGACUUCACUGUGCAUUGCAGUUUUCAGAACCAGAGAUGGCAGGUACGGUUUCUUUGACCCACAUGCUAGGACAGCUAAUGGUUUGCCUCUGCUUAAAGCCACACCUACUCCUGGUACCGCUGUCAUGGUAACAUUCACACGCCUCAGUGACAUGAUUGCCAGGCUCAUCACGUAUCACCACAUGUUGGGCACAGCAGCGUCCUGUACCUAUGAGCUCAAGCCAGUUGUGUUCUGUGAUGUGAACCCAAGUGAUGCUAUCCCAGCCACAGAAAGUCCGUCCACAAGUCCCUCUGUAACAACCACUGUGAUAAAUGAUGACACAAGUGCUCCACAGAUGAACACUGAUGUCCAUGAAAACACUGAAUGUGACAUGGAAACUGAACCAGAACCACUGAUCGACUUCAGCCAGUGUUCUGUCACAUUAACUGGUCCUGAAUUUCUCACUCCAGAGAUUAACACUACUGUAAGUGAUGGCACAUCACAGAAAGCCUCAACUUUGAUGGAAACUCAAGCUCAUCAACCAGGUGAAAUCAACAAUAAUUCUGUCACAUUAGAGGAAACUCAACAGACAAAAUCAAAUUUGACACAACCAUUGAUAACUAUCCCCAUUGCUAGUGACAAAGUUAUCCAUGACAUCUCCACUAAACUGUCAAAAUUAAGCAAACAGCAAAAAAAGAAAUUUAAGAGGAGACUAAUGAGAUCUGGAAAGACAUCUCAAAAGAAAGAGAAUCAAAAAAGGAGAGAGAGAGAAAAGUAUGCUAAGAGUGAAACAUAUAAAGCAAAGAAAAAGUCUUAUUCAAGUAACAAAUAUUCUGUAAAUCCUGAGAUACGGACAAAGAAAAGACAAAAGAUCACAUCUAAAUAUAGAGAAAGCACAGGCUUCAGACUGAAACAAAAAGAAUAUAUCACCAAAAAAUACAGAGAAAAUGUUGAUUUUAAAGGCAGACAAAAAGAAUAUAUCACCAAAAAAUACAGAGAAAAUGUUGAUUUUAAAGGCAGACAAAAGUUAUAUUUUAGGAAAAAAUAUGGAGAAAAUGUUGAUUUUAAAGGCAGACGAAAAGAAUAUUUCACGAAAAAAUACAGAGAAAAUGUUGAUUUUAAAGGCAGACAAAAAGAAUAUAUCAGGAAAAAAUACUCGGAGGAUGUUAAUUUCAGGCAAAGACAGCGAUCAUAUAUCACUCAUCGAUAUGCAAAUGAUGAAAUAUUCUGUCACCGACACAGACAGCUGAUGAGACAAAUGAUGCGAGACAAGUACAAGACAAAUCUUGCUUACAGAACUAUGCAUAAAAUGAGGUGUGCAUUGAAAAUAUCAAAGAAAUACAAACGGAUAAGUAGACAAACAUGUGAGACUGACAGAGAGAGUGAAAACCCUCUUAUUGAAAGUGCCAUCAAUGAUUUCAGAUCACACAUUAAAGCUGGUCCCACCCAUGUUUGCACAGUUUGUCACAAAGCCUCAUUUCCAAACCAGGUUCAAAAGUGCAAGAGAUCAAACUAUGUGAAAAAUCCAACCAUGGUUUCAGCUUGUCUCAAAGGUCAGUACGUCCAUGCAUGCAACGAUGACUGCAGAAAUCAGUGCACUGUCCCUGAUGAGAGAAAGACUGAGUGGAUUUGUCACACCUGCCAUGACCAUCUGAAAAAUGGAUCCAUGCCCAAACUUGCCAUAGCAAACAACUUGGAGCUUGCUGACAUACCACCUGAGCUGUGUGACCUCAACAUACUGGAGAGACAUCUGAUAGCAAAGUGCAUAACAUUUGCCAAAAUCAUUCCUCUUCCCAAAGGCAGACAGAGAGCUAUACAUGGUAAUGUUGUAUGUGUUCCCUCUGAAGUCCAGGAAACAAUUCAGGCUCUACCCAGAUUGAGAAAUGAAUCUCAGGUGAUGAGAGUAAAACUGAAGAGACGCUUGAGUUACAGAGGUCACCAUCUGUUUCAGACUGUUACCUGGUCCAAGCUAGUGCAGGCUCUGCAUAAACUGAAAGAGAUACACCCCCAGUAUGAAGACAUCACUAUUAGAGAUGAGGAGGAGUUAUGUGACCCCACACUUCCUGAUGAUGGUGAUGAGGAUGAUGAUGAUGAUGGUAAUGAUAUUACAAUGAAUGAUGACGACUAUGACGAUGAGGAUUUGAUGGAAAUUGAUCGAAUUGAGGCUGCUGCCAUGUAUGAGGCUGAAACUAAUGUUGAAAAUGAGGAUGAGAGUACAGAGCUGUGUGAUAAAAGUCAGACCCAGGAAAAUGAUGAUCAGACACAACAACAGGAUGCAGACAUACCUAAUGGUGGUGUUGUUUUGGAGUCGUGCCUUCAGCCACGUGAUGUUUCUGAGGAGAUAUUGUGUUUCAGUGACUCUACAUACUCAGUAGCUCCAGCAGAGAGAAACAAUCCAGUCAGUUUUUUCAAAACACCCAAACUAGAGGCCAUGGCGUUUCCUGUUCAGUUUCCCACUGGUGAGAAUACACUGGAUGAAAACAGACCAAUGAAACUAUCACCCAGUAGUUAUUUUAAAGCAAGGCUCUUUGGUGUUGAUGAUCGCUUUGCCAAAGAUACCAACUACCUGUUCUUUGCACAGUUUGUGACUGAAAUACACUUGGCUACCUCCAGCAUGUCAAUACAGUUACGCAAAGGCAAACCUUUGACCAGAGACGGACGUAAAAUAACAUCCAGAAUGUUGAGAGACAAAUACGAAGUGGAGAGACUGGUGAGAAACAGAGAUGCUAUCAGAUUUAUGCAGCCGCUCAGAGGAACACCAGCCUACUGGGACAAAACUACAAAAGAUCUGUUUGCUAUGAUCAGACAGUUGGGCAGUCCUACUUUCUUUGUCACAUUUUCUGCAGCAGAAAUGCGUUGGCCUGAGGUGAUUAUUGCAAUAAAAUUACAACAAGGUGAGGAGGUGAAUUUUGAAGAGCUCGACUGGUCCACAAAGUGUGACAUUCUGAGAAGCAAUCCUGUGACAACGAUGCGCAUGUUUGAUAAGCGUGUUGAAGCACUGUACAGAGAUCUGAUCAUGUCUCCUGCACAACCCCUGGGCAAAGUUUUUGACUUCUUUUGGCGUCUCGAGUUUCAGCACAGAGGAAGUCCUCAUAUACAUGGUCUUUUGUGGGUAGAAGGUGCACCUGUGUUUGAGAGAGACUCUGACAAAACUGUGUGUGACUUUGUGUCCAAACACAUCUCUGCUCAGCUCCCUGACCCAAACAAACAGCCUGAACUGUACAAAAAGGUCAAAGAAGUGCAAAUACACAGUAAGAACCACUCAAAGACAUGUUUCAAAAGUGCAAGUUCUGGAUGCCGAUUUGGAUUCCCAAAACCACCCUCCAGACAGACAAUGAUAACAAGACCUGUGGGUGAUGAUGAGGAGUCAGAGAGACUUAAGAGAGCCAAAGAGAAACUUGCACCACUGAAUCAGCUGCUGAAUGAGACACAAACUGAAUCCAUGAGUUUUCAACAGCUCCUGUCUGUCUGUGACUUAACCGCUGAUGAGUAUGAGAAACACAUGAAUGUGAUGAGUCAGUCCAGCAACAUCAUUCUGAAGCGUGAGCCAAAAGACUGCUGGGUAAACACCUACAACCCUCACCUGCUCAAAGCUUGGGAUGCAAACAUUGACGUGCAGUUCAUUCUCAGCUACUACAGUCUGAUCCAUUACAUAUGUACGUACAUGUGUAAAAGUGAGAACUCUGUGAGCCAGUACCUGCAAACACUCAUUCAGAACUCCGACAGAGAAUGUGUCAAUGAAUGUGAUGAAAUGAAAGCGGUCAUGCAGGCGUAUUCCAAAAAGCGAGAAGUAUCAGCACAAGAAGCUGUUGCCCGAGUGACUUCACUGAACAUGAAAAAGAGUUCACGCAGUGUGGUUUUUGUCCCAACUGAUGACAACCCAGUGAAAAUGAGUCUGCCUGUGUCAAGCCUUGACAACACAACACCAGACAGCUUGAAUGUGUGGAUGACAUCCUUAACAGACAAGUACAAAUCCAGACCUGAAUCACCAGAGUUUGAAGAGAUGUGCAUGGCUGAUUUUGCGUCUACCUGCAGACUGGUGUAUGGACAACAGACCAAGGGCAAGAAAGUGGUACCUCUGCUGAAUGAACUAGGCUUUAUACAGAGACGAGAAAGUGACAACGCUGCUGUCAUCAGGUAUCGCCGCAUAUCCAAAGAGAAAUACCCUGAGCAGUUUUACGGCACAUUGCUUAGACUGUAUCUUCCAUACAGAUCAGACGAUGAGCUGAAAAGACCAUAUUUUCCCACAUAUGAGUCAUUCUAUGAGAGAGGUGUGGUUCAGCUGCCGUAUUCUGACCGACCCCUGAGUGUGAAACUCAUUGUGAAAAGAAACAGAGAGAGAUAUGAAAAAAACAGUGAGGAAAUUGACUCUGCUCUCGAGGACUUUGAACAGAACAGAGGUGUGGUCGAUGAAUGGUGUAAUUUGGCACCUGAAUCUGAACUGGUGAGGUUGGAGUGUAUCGAUGAACUGGAUGCCAGACAGUGUGAAAAUGUCCAAGAGGAUGUACCGGAUUACAGCAGACAAGCAAAUGCUGCUACAGAGGCCAGAGUCAUGAGAGAGCCCCCUACAAUCGAUCCCACACGGUUACGACAAAUGUAUCAGAGUCUGAACCAGAAACAGGCAUGUGUGUUCUAUGCAGUAAGAGACUGGUGCAUAAAACGAGUCUGUGGACCACAACCAGAGCAGUUUUUCUACUACAUCAAUGGUGGUGCUGGCACUGGAAAGUCACAUCUCAUUAAAUGCAUUCAUUCAGAAGCAUCAAAGAUUCUGAGAACACUACCUACACGUGCUGAAGAAGCUGACAUCUCAAACCCGACUGUGCUGUUGACUGCUUUCACCGGAACUGCAGCCUUUAACAUCUCUGGAACAACACUGCACUCUCUCCUCAAGCUGCCCAGAAGUUUGAAACCUCCUUUUCAAGGUCUUGGGAACCAACUUGAUGAAAUCAGGUGUGAGCUUUUAAAUGCUGAAAUCAUCAUCAUUGAUGAAAUCUCCAUGGUGUCGAAGCCUCUGUUUGCCUAUGUGGAUAUGAGACUGAAACAGAUUAAAGGCAGCCACAGACCCUUUGGAGGAAUGUCAGUCAUUGCUGUGGGAGACUUUUACCAGCUACCGCCUGUGCGACAGUCCAAACCACUCUGUGUCUAUGAUCCAAGUGAGCUUGACCUCUGGAGAGACAACUUCCAGGUGAUCACUUUGGAUGAGAUCAUGCGACAGAAGGAUGACAAAACUUUUGCCGAGAUGCUGAACAGACUCCGUGUGAAAACAAGGUCAGAUGAGCUUUCUGAAGCUGACAGAGAUCUGCUGUCACAGCGUGUCACUGAACCACAACUGUGUCCCUCUGAUGUCCUGCACAUUUUUGCUACAAACAAACAAGUUGCAGAACACAACUCUGCUACACUAUCUCUGCUCCAUUCUGAUAUCACCACCAUUGAUGCAGAUGACUUUAAAAAGGACCCACACACUGGACACAUGAAAAGACAAGGUGCACCAUGUCAUGGAAGCAGAAAUGAUCUACCUGACACCCUAGAUGUUGCAGUAGGUGCUAGAGUCAUGCUUACCAGAAACAUUGAUGUGUCUCAAGGAUUAGUGAACGGAUCAUUUGCUACAGUAGGCCGUCUCAUAAGCUCUGAAAACAACAGUUCUACUCUUGUCACUAUGCUUGGUCUCAGGAUGGAUGAUGAAACAGCUGGCAGGAGCUAUCGUACUCGAGGAGACAAUCUUGUGUACAUCGAGAGAUCUGAAGAGGCUCUGCAACAGAAAGGAGUGGUACGCAGACAGUUUCCUGUGAAACUUGCCUUUGCAUGCACGAUACACAAGGUUCAAGGUAUGACCAGAAAAUCUGCUGUUGUCUCACUGAAGCACAUUUUUGAGCCCGGCAUGGCCUACGUAGCUAUCAGUCGAGUGACCUCUCUCAGCGGACUGCACAUGCUUGAUUUGGAUGAGAGUAAAAUUCAUGCUAACCCUGCAGUCACUGUAUCUUUGGAGACCAUGACGCAAGCUAACUUUGAUCACCUCAUGCCUUUUCUCCAGAUCCAGCAUUCUCUCAGCAGACAGGACACUGUGAGCAUCAUUCAUCACAACACCGAAGGAUUACCUGCUCAUGUGAAUGACAUCAAAAGCCAUCAUGAACUGUGUCUUGCAGAUGUUUUGUGUCUGACAGAAACUCACCUACAGGGCUCCUUUGUGGCGGACAGUCUCCAGUUUGAGGGCUACACCAUGUUCAAACGCAACAGACAUUUGUCCUACACUAACUUUCCACAGAUGGCCAGUAAAGGAGGUGGUGGAGUCGCUGUUUAUGUGAAAAACCAUUUGCAGGUUGUGGAGAAACAGUACCUGAAUAAUGUGACUGACCUUGAGUUUGUGGCUUUGAAGGUUGAAUCUCCUGUAAGUGCUCUGAUUGCAGCUGUGUACAGACCUCCAGACUACAGUGUGCCAUCAUUCCUGUCCAAUCUGGGAAGCCUUCUGGACUCACUUGAGAUCAUGGACUGUCAUCCCAUCAUCGUCUGUGGCGACUUCGAUGAGAAUCUCUUUUCUAAUGCAAGUAAGCCAAUUCUGGAUUUCUUUCAGUCCAAGGGAUAUGGUCAACUGAUCACUGCUGCUACAACGGACAAGAACACACUGCUGGACCUGAUCUUCAUCUCACGACCUCAGCUAUGUCUCUCCUCAGGUAUCAUGCAGACCUACUACAGUUACCACAACGCCACUUAUUGUGUCAUUUCAUCCAACAGGUCAUAGAGGAAACUGCUCUGAAGGAAAAGACAAACCAGAGAAGUUGUGGCUAAUGUUAUGCUCAUAUUUUCAGUACAGAUUGAAAUGUGUUUGGUCAUUGUAAAUUUUACUUGUGCAAAAUAUAUUUUUAUGGUUCAGAAUUUUUAGAUAGAAAAUAUUUUUCAGGUUGUAAAAUUUUCCAACUAUUCAAAUGUUAUAAAUGACAAUUUUUGGCCUGUGCAUUUAUCAAGUCCAGUCAAGUCAAGUUAAUCCAUUUAACUUGACUUGACUGGACAUAGGGAGGGUGGGUGCGGAUUGAUAAAUGCACAGGCCAAAACUCUCAGCUGCUGUGUACAAUACUGUAUACAGCAGCUAAAAUUAAAAACCUCCAUCAGAAAGUGUGUGUUCCCUAAUGAACACACACUUUCUGAUGUUCUGUUACCUACCAGCUGAAACCCCCUUUUCUCCACCCAACUUUACACCACUCUCUUAGCAUGGGUGGCUGUAAGUACACUAGGGCAAACAUAAGUUUCCUUUUCUUUGGGUAGGUUUUUAUUUUUUAUUUUUUAUUUUUUAUUAUUAUUUUUUUUUUCAGUUGUCCCCGCCAUCUUUAACCUGACCCCCAUUAGUACUAUCCUGACUAGCUCACUGUAAACUGAAAAAAAUUAUCAAACUGUCAACCAAAAGUAAACACAUCACCUGUAGGUACAGUAGAGUAAAGCUAAGUUUCCUUUUGUUUGGGUAUUUUUUUUUUCUUCUUCAGUUGUCUCUGCCAUCUUUGACCUGACCAUUAGUGCUGUCCUGACUAGCUCACUUAUGAGCAGAAAAAAAUUAUCAAACCGUCAACCAGAAGUAAACACAUCACUUUGGACCACUCAAAGACACAGUCUACCUGCUGUUUAACCCAGUCUUUGGUCAGAGGUGAAGAAGAGAUGACAUCCUCCACACCAUCCCCCUGCUGCUCUCAACAACCAUCAUCGCUGUGCUGGACAGAUUGCAGCACCCACCAGGACCCUUCUCUCAUGGACUACACAAACAUGUGUUUUACCUGCUCAUGCUCCAGAUGUCCUGAAGCAGCUCUCAAGGACCACCAGACACCAGGCUGAAGCAGAACUGAUGCUGUAGUACCUGUCACUCACUGGGCUCGUUCCUGCUGAACCUCCAAGAGAUAAACCCCUCUUCAAGAACGUCUGAGGUAAUGUCUUAGUGAACUUGUGUUCAUUUAUUUUUUCUUAGUUAUCUUAGCUGCUGUAUUAAUGCUUGUGAUGCUAUUGUACAGCUCUGCUGAUAUCAUCGUCUUUAACAGCAGUGUUUUCUCCCAGGUCUUCUUCAAGCCAGUUAAGAGAGGAAGAACAGCUUAGACACUCAGGCAGCUGAACGCACCAAAGGUGGACAUCAUGCAGCCACCCUGAGCCUUGAGCCUCUCUGUGUGAGGAAGCUUUGCUGCUGCAGACCUGGUGAAGUUGCUCUGGACAGAAAUAUUUUUGCUCUGCUGCAGUGCUGAAGGUAUUCAUUUUAAUGAUGUGUGUAUUUAUUCAACAUGUUUAGUUUCACAGAUUAUCAACACAAAUGUUUCUGUUUAUUUCCUGUUUUGAACCAGCUACAUUCUCCUACUUCAAGUCACUGUCUGUUCAUCCACGGUGUAGCAAGUGCAGCUAACUAAUGGUGAUCCUACAAGUCCUGCAGUCCUGUGAAGCAAGCUGCAGCAGAUGUCAUCACAUUCAGAUCAUCAGUUCAUCUUUACUGCAGCUUUAAACUUUCCCUGACUCCAGUGAUGCUGUCAACUCGAACACUGAUAACUGCACACAGCGAUUCUACAACCACAGGUCAAAGGUCAAAACAUUACCUCACUCUAAACCUUCACUCUGAACUGUAGCGGGCUCUGCUUUUGGUUUUGAACAAAAGUGCCCAGACAGAACACAGUACUCACUUGAAGAACUGACUGAUUUUCUUCAGGACAGGACAACUAUUACUCUUAUAUUGUUUUGAAUCCUGUUUUCUACAUUCAGUGAUCGGUUGUCGAUAUCUGUUAAUAUUUUAAGUUUCCUUUAUGUUUCUUGGACUUUAUUUGUUCUAUUUUAUUUUAGUAUUUUCUUUCCCUUUUACUGUGUAUCUGUCCUUAUAUCAAAAGAUGACCAACACUGAUGAAGGGAAAUAAUACCAGUUACUUCAGUUGUUGCAGGCAGCUGAAUUUCUCAUUUUAAUAUGCUCACCAUAUCCCUCAAAUUUACCUACAAGAGAAGACGUGUUUUAGAAAUUAAUGAUGUACUUUGGGUUUCAGCUGGUAGGUACACUGCAGGUUUUUCACGUGUGCUUAGUCUUGGGCUAAUGUUUUGGACAGCAGUGAUCCCAGCAUUACAGUGUGAACCAAUCCCUGCUGAAGGUUGCCGUCACAAUCCUCAAACACAGGGCUCGUUUACGAGCUGUGUGAAGGGAUUUCAUAGAGGAACAAAGUUUUUAUGCUUAUCCUUAAAAUGUAUUUCUCCAUAGUAGAAAACUUUUAAAAAAGAAACUAUCAUCGUGAAGACAACCCAGCAUUUCAGUACGACAAGUAGUGUGAAUGUUUGGAUAAGAAAACACUGGGAUCUAAAAUGCUGACCAGAUUGUCAGUCCACUACAAUGAGCUGAUGACAGUAUUAGCCUUGGUCUAACUACUGUGAAAAGCCUUUUGGGUGGUAAGGUGGACCAAUACAUGCUAUAAAAAAUACCUUAGUGCCAUAUUUAAGUUAUUAACCUUUCAUCUUACUUUGCCUGUAUAUUUCCGCAAGCCUGGAUGACUUUGCACCUUUUGCAUUUGCAUUCUUUACCUUACCCUCCACAUUAUUUCAAAUCUUAAAUUUAGAUUUAAUUAAAAAAAAAUAUUUUAAUUUCUGUAAAAGACUUCUGUACUACACUGUACAGUAAACCGCUGAGUUAUUUUUGCUGACCAGAUUGUCAGUCCACUACAAUGAGCUGAUGACAGUAUUAUCCUUGGUCUACUGUGAAAAGCCCUUUGGUGGUAAGGUGGACCAAUCCAUUACAUCAAUUUAUUUCAAGUUCUCAAAUCUACUUUUUAAUCUGAUCAUUUUAGAUUUUGUUUAAAGUUUCAGUUUCAUGUCAUUUAAUUUUAUUCAUUAUUAUAAUUAUUUAUUAUUCGAUAAUUUUCUUUUUUUCUACAUGAGAGGGCCCACAUUUCACUGCAGUUAGCUUUAAAAAAUACUAAAAUGCCAUAUUUAAUUAAUAAGCCUUUCACCUUACUUUGCCUGUAUAUUUCCACAAGCCUGGAUAACUUUGCAUUAUUUGCAUUUGCAUUCUUUACCUUACCCUUCACAUUAUUUUACAUUUAUUCUAUACUUGUUGUGUUUCACAUUUAUGUUGUUAUACUGCUGACCGAUUUUAGUAACUAUUUUUUUUAUAACUCUCAAGUCACCAUUUUCAUAUAUUUUUUUAAUGUAUAGGUAUAAUAAAGGUUUUUCAGCUGUGCAAACUUAGUCUUAGGCUAAUCUAAACCCUUAAAAACACGCAUAACAGUCCUGUAUCAGACUUUGAAAUCAAAUUUCAAGGUCUGUCUUUAAAGCCCACAACACAGGACUUGGCUUAAUGUGCCAUGACAAAUUUUAUGAGCCAACUUUUAAGGCUUAGUAAUCCGAAUACACAAGAAAAGAGGUGAAUGUGGGUCCAGGGCUGCUGGAGUUUGAAUCAAGUAAAUAAUGGGGUGUUAGCCUCAGUCUAAGCACCGUAUGAAGAGCCUUUAAUGAUUGGGCUAAACAAUAUUAGAAACAACUGAAAAUGUGAUACCUUUGUCCAUCAAUAAUUACAGCAACUACAAUCUUAAAACCUCAGGCUUAAGAGACAGAUUGGUCACCCAUGUAAAGAUUUCUGCUUCCAAAACCUGUUCACAAACAAAUUGUUUAUAAUUUGAUUUAAGGCACUAUGGAACAUUGUUUCUUUAUGUGUUUAUGUUUUGAUGUUUUGUUUUAAUUUUUUUUUAAUGUUUUAUGAUUAAUCAUUUCAUUGCUCACAAAAUGUUAAAGGAUUGACAAUUUUUUUUUCUUUCUUUUGGUUUUACUUAUGUAAAAACUCAGUUUUAAUUUUUUAAGUUGAUGCAAAUUUUAAAUUAAAUAUAUUUGUGUAAUGUGUUCAUGUCUCAUUUAAAUUCAUUUCUACUUCGUCCAACAUGAAGGCCUUUUCAGCCAUCUUUAAAAUUCUUUACCAUAUUUUCUGUAAUGUUCAAGUUCAGUUCUUAAGCAAUCUGAAUAUUCAUACAGCUUCUGGUUUACCUCUCCCAGUGUUUUUACAUCCAUAUAACUCAUCUCUUUUUCAAUAUCUUCUUCUUCAGUUCUGUUACGGUUUAAACAUUCACACAACUUCUACUUAUUACACUUCACCCCUUUAACAGUUUUUUUCAUUUAUACUCUCCUCCAUUUUUUUCACAGUUUUGCUUUUCAGUUUUCAGCAUUCAGCAUUUCCACGCAUUUUCUGCAAGGAAAUGCAACUUUUCUAGUUAAACUUAUUAUUUUUCUUCCGUACCUUUUUUGGACCGCUUCUCCUCCUUCAAACUUUGUCCGAUUUCAACCGUUCAAACUUUAAACUAUUCCACUCCUUCAGGACAUGAUGGCGUCUAUUUUUUUUCUUUCUACCCUUUAUACUUUUUGGUUUUUUUAACUUUUUGUGCAAAAAUUUUAACAUUGAAGUCAAUGGGGAAAUCUUCAACUUCUUCCUUUCAUUCUUCCACCUUCUAGACCUUAUAACUUCAGCAUACUUUCACCUAGAGACCUCAUUUUUGCUUUAAAAUGUUCAUUCACUUGUCGACUAUUAUAGUUGUACUCAGUUUUUUGAUAUCUUUUACAGUUUUUCCACAAUUUAGCUUUAAGCAACUUGUGGUUUUCAGCAAAUUUCAAGCUUUAUAAUGGGUGUGUAUUGGAGAGUUUAGAGUGAUGAUGUCAUCAGCUAGAGUGCAGACCUCGUCUCUGAUCGACAGAACCUCGCUCGAAUAUAUCACUCCCACGCCCACAAAUCUCACUCCACUGACACAAAUAAUACAUCAAAAUGGAGGUAUAUGUGUCCUGCUUCUCACAAAAGAGGUUUCAAAUCAUUAAAUCGUACCCCUUGGCCAGCAGGUGACCAACUGUCCAAAUAGGCGGAAAUCUCUCCCCAUUAGACCUAAUGUAUUUCUUCUCCAAGAAAAUCCUUAUCCCCACUCAGGCUCAGACUUUUUUAACUCGCUGUUGUGGCCACAUUUUUUGGAGUACAGACAUGUAAAACACAUCAUUGUGUUCAUGAAGGGCGGAGGAUUCGUACGAUGUUCUUAUUUUCAUUCUGGGACUUAAGGAAAUCACACUAUGUGAAGAAGUUCACAUGGUUUAAAUCCUCUGCAGUUCAGCUGCUUCUCAUUCAAACAGUAGGUCAGUGAUUUGCCUUUGAUCUCACAGCUGUUAGGGAUGCAGACAUUAAUGAGACACACACACACACACACACACACACACACACACACACACACACACACGCACACACACAUUCUUGUACUUGUUGCUUUAUGAGGUCUACCUUGCAGUUCAGCUGCUUGUACACACCGUUAAUAUGUGUCUGCUUCACCACCUAUCUCCACCUACAAACUUUGAGCUACAGAAACCAUUCUGGGCUUCAAAAAUUCAGCUCAUUGAAGAUAUUAUGGGGUGUUUUAAGGAUUGUGAUAAUAAAUUGUAUUAAUGUCUUCAGCAGAGUCUUGUGGUUCUCACUACCUCCUUAUCAUGAAUAUAGCUGUUACAGAGGAUGAGCAUAGUCUGGGAUUUUGUUUCUCAGCUUCAAGGCUCCUUUCUCCUGCAUCUAUGGUCCCCAUAGCAACCAAUUAGUGCACCUGGAGACACACAGCUGACUGAAAAGCUGCUUCUAACGGCCAUUUGAGGCACAUGAAGCCAGGCUCAGUAUACAGAGCACUGAGUGUUACAUUUAAAACCCUUCACCAGAGCACCUGAAAAAGAUUAAGCCCCUAUCUCCUCCCACAAACUUUGACCUAUAGAAACCAUUCAGGGCUCCAAGAAUUCGGCUCAUUGAGGACAUUAUGGGGUGUAUUUAGGAUUUUUAUUCAUUUACAUAUUUCAAUUUUUAAGGUCACUCAGUGAUGAUUCAUUAUUUAAUUUGUAAACUAAUUUAAACUCAUUCAUACCUUUCUGAUAUUUAAAAUCUUAAUGAUUCUUGAGGAUUUUUGAUAAUUUAAAUUUUCCCAGUUUAAAUUAGUUUAAAUAUUUAUGCAUUAUUCCAUCCUUCAAACAAAAUCCCACCUCUAGAGCUACAACUACUGCUAAUGUCAAUUAAAGUACUUUCCCCUCUACUUCAACUGCUAUUGCUCCUAUUUCUACUUUCUCUACUACUUUACUGAUACUUCUUUUAUUCUCAAACUACUUCUACUGCUUACAUGACUACUAGUAUCACUACUUGACUACUUGUCAUACUACUUCUAGUACUACAACUUAAACUUAUGCCACUUCUCACCUUCCUGCCUUUUAAGGCAAUUUCCUUCUUCAUUCAAACUUGCUUGUACACACAGUUAAUAUGUGUCUGCUUCACCACCUAUCUCCACCCACAAACUUUGAGCUACAGAAACCAUUCUGGGCUUCAAAAAUUCAGCUCAUUGGAGAUAUUAUGGGGUGUUUUGAGGAUUGUGAUAAUAAAUUGUAUUAAUGUGUUCAGCAGAGUCUUGUGGCUCUCACAACCUCCUUGGCAUGAAUAUAGCUGUUACAGAGGAUGAGCAUAGUCUGGAAGUUUGUUUCUUAGCUUCAAGGCUCCUUUCUCCUGCAUCUACGGUCCCCAUAGCAACCAAUUAGUGCACCUGGAGACACACAGCUGACUGGAAAGCUGCUUCUAACAGACAUAUGAGACACAUGAAGCCAGGCUCAGUACACAGCAUAUUGGUGAUUCAUACUGCCACUGAAGUUUAACUUUGAUCAUGUGUGUGCAGUACUGUCUUUGUGUCUAUAAGAGCUACUCGCACACACACACCACUUCUAAUUGUAACAUCUCUUUAAGUAGUACUCCACUUUUACUACAUAUACUUCUAACAUUUAUACCACCAGUACUUCUACCACUUCUGAAACUACUACGAGCACUUAUUCGACUACAGCUACCACUUCCACUACUACUACCACCACUUCAACUACUACUACUAUGACUAGCUCUACAACUGCAACUUGUAUCCCUCUACAUCUCCUUCUAUUCUUUUUCUUUAAACAUAACUUUCUUUAUUUGAAGUAAUUACACAGACAGCAACAUGUCAGUACAAUUUGACAGAGAUCUCCACUCUAUCCUUUUCCCCAGUUUUUUAUCCCUCCCACAUCUCCUUCUAUUCUAAACCCACUAUAAGUACUGUGACAAGUACUACCGCUAAUAUGACUACUACUAUCACUUCUACCACUAUUCAUUUUACUACUACUACCACUAAAACUUCUACAACUUCUUACUCAAAUCCUCCUAGGUUUUUUUUUAGGUCCUAUCAGUUGUAUUUUUGCUGUCAUUUUCACAUUCAUUAUGCUGGUAUGACAAUAAUUUUUUUGCUGUUAAUUUUUUUAAUGAAUUUCUAUUUCCCACAAUGUGUGGAUUAAGUUAACCACUGUGUUAACCACCUUGUCGAGGGAAGUGUGAAAUUUCCGAGUGUCCCUGAACGCCUCAAACAUUUCUACCGGGACUCCGCCUUGGCUCGCGCUAUCCUGCUGCAUCUUACAGAAGGGUGAGUCAGAGCUGAGUCUCUGUCAACGUCUAAACGUUAAAAAAUGGGAUUUAACCUGUCAAAAUGGCACUGGUUUGAGUUAUAAUCGAUGAAGAGUUCAUUCAUGAUUGAAGUGGUCGAGAUGUUGACUUGAAAAAGCUUACGCUAACAGUGUUAGCGUCGAGCUAGCGGAGUUAGCACCGAGCUAGCGGAGUUAGCGUCAAGCUAGCGGAGUUAGCGUCGAGCUAACGCUAAAGCUAACAUUCCGUCAUUUAUGGGGCUGAAUCAUUAGCCAGCUGAGAAAUGCACAAAAUAAUGUGAUGUGCAGUUUGUAGAGUUUACUGACAUUUGGACUGACGGGGAUACUAAUAUUGUCAAGUAUUAACUUACUACUGAAGCUAGCGCUGUUGCUACAGGUAGUAGCAACAGCUGUGACUGAGUCAUAGCUGGGGAAUUGGUCUGGAGACGUCAGCUGUUUAGCUCCUGGUCACUUUUUAUCAGCCAUUGUAGAUGUAUUAAAAUAUAGGCUGCAUUUAGCAAGCAUCCAGUUAUAACACAAAUGUGAGUGGUUUUUCUUGUUUUAUGUGUCAGAAUGACACUAGAUGGUCCUCUAUUAUUGAAGGUGUUAUUCAUGAUGGGGUUGAUAGAGAUAUUUACAUUGCAAAACAUAAAAUUAAUUCAGUAUUUAAUGUUUAACAAUACGAAGUUCCAAAUAAUAAAUAUAUUCCAGUUGAAUUUCCAUUUAGGGAUCUAUAAAGUUCUUAUCUUAAUAUUGAGUUGAUGGAUGGAGAGUUAGCUGCCUUGAAGUUGGUGAACCGACUCCUGGGCUGUCUCUGUCUCACUGGCUGCUGCUGUACCUCACAUUAUACUGUACCUAAUUUACCUUUGAUCACAAGCUGUUAAUUUCGAUAUUGGUGAUGUGCUAACACCACAGCAAAGAUAUUUUAUCUGAGGGAUAAAUACUUUAAUACAGUAUAUAUUAUGGGACAUUUUCAGCUGCAGCUAACAGCCAAGUGAUCUGUUGGAGCUGUUUAGUUUUCAAUUAGCCCAAGUACUGUAAUAAUGUUAGUUUUCUUUACAGGCCAGUUGUUUUUAGUGUGCUAUCUGUCAGAAAACACUAAUGUAUUGUUUCUUGUCUCAAACAAACAGAAGAUACAUCCACUCCAGUGCACUUGUUGGUAAGUAUAAGUGUUUUAAGCAAGACUGACAACAAACAAAAUAAGAAUAACUCGAUUAAUGUUGAGCUUAAUCCUGUUAAACAACGUGAUAUUCUAGAUAAUGUACAACAUAUGAUGCAUUUUUCAAAUACUGAGUUUAAAUUGAUAUGAAAUGUUUAUUUUUCUGUAACACUGUUGUAUAUCCUAUAUGAAAAUCAUAGAUGGGAUACAGUUUUUUCCUAGUAGAAAAUAAUGUGCUUACAAUAUUACAACAGUACUAAAUUAUUUUUUGUAAACAUUUUAAUUUGCUGGGAAAUGCUGAAUCUUGAUUUUGACAAUAAUAAAGUGGGAAAAUCAUUCAGGAAAAAUGUCUUUAAAUGAAGUGAGCUGUGAGGGAGGUUCUUUUGAGUGUGUUAAAAAUCUUUUUUCCUCCCUCUCCCCCUCCUCCUGCCUCAUCUUGUCCUUUGACCUCCUGCCCUAUCAACUCUGAAGUGUAAGUUCACUCUUGUAUACUUAUUAAGCAAUCAAUUAAGUGUUGCAUUUUUGCUCUGCAGUUUAUAAUGACAUUUCACUGUUUUGUAUUUCACCUCAAUAACAUACAUAACAAAGUAAAGAGAGGGCCUUCGUGCAUUUUCUCUCCAUCUUAAACAUUUUUUACAGGCCAAGGGAGCUGCAGUAACAUCCUUUUACUAAUCAAGGGCUACCGAUUGUAGACUUUGAUAAGAAAUGAGAAAACUAAUGAUCCACACUGAAAAGCGGUGUGAUUACAGUAAACUAUGAGUUACUGAUUUUUUUUGCAACUAAAUUUAUUUACUUUUUGUCCCUGUCUUUUCUCUCCUGAACUCGACGCUAUGUCUACUGCUGGCCCUGUUCACUGUUGGCGACUCAGCUGUAAGUUCACAAAUAAAGUAACUUUAAAAUAUAUUUUUACUGUUACUUUUCACAACACAUUAUCUAAAAACCUGACCUAAAUAACACUUUAUUUUAACUAAUGCAGAAACAAAUGGAAAUAAUUUUGCUGGCUGAUCACAGUUGGAAUUACAAUGCAGUGAGAUGUGCUGGUUUUGUACAAUUAAAAUAAAAAUCUCUUGUCACUGUUUUUCCAUUUUCCUUCUUGCCAACUCUAUCCUGUCUCCAAGUGCAGACCGCUUUGUGGCGACUCGACGUAAGUUCACACAGGAAUGACAUUUUCAUGAAUAAUACAGUGUGCCUUUAUUCAACACAUUAUGGACCCCUCAUCAUGUACUAACUUGAUGAUUUUUUCCCUUUGAUUAUGUAAUAUUCACAGUUGGACAUGAACAGCUUGAAUGUUAUAUGCAAUACACUUAUUUGCAUUUUAUUUCCAAUCAUUGGAAAGCAAUUUGUUACUAUUAAAUUGUGGAGUUGUAAUUUUUUUAAUGAUGAAUAUCCAAAUAGUUACUUAUCAUUGUGAUUCCUUACGUUGUGAUUACUUCGUUGGAAAACUUAAAACACAGUAAAGGAAAUUACAUUUCCUAAAAUACAUUAUUAUUUUAUUAGCAUAGUAAUCCAUUGUUAUUAUUGCUUAACAGGACAUGGUUAUGAACAUUAUAAAGGGAACUUUAGAUGAUUUCUAAGAGUCUAAAAUUUUUUUGUAAAAAAAUUCUUCUCUUUUUGUAAAAUACUUUGAGGUCCUAAAUUUAAAAAGCUGGCUAUGUGGUUGGAUUCAAGUUGGACUCAGUGUAGGAUGUGGUAGAGAGAUGUACGCUGAGAAGGUGGAGACUAUUUUAAAGAACAUGGAUUACCCACUUCAUAACACCUUGAUGGACCAAAGGGCCUAAGGUGGUGGACGGCUCCUCUCUCUUCGCUGCAGGACAAAAAGAUUCAGAAGGUCUUUUGUACCCACAGCCAUCAGACUUUACAAUUCUUUUAAAAAUAGUAGAUGACUUUUGGAGAUAAGACAAAUGAGACUACAAUCAAAUUUCCCUUCAGGGAAAUAAUAAAGUUCUCCUUACCUUAAAUACAUUUUUAAUAAACUCGUAUGAGCACUUUGGAUUUUUAGUUCUUAUUAAUUUGAUUGAUGGGUUAUCAAACAGGGCAAUUGCCAAUUCCAGGAUUUGACUCAACUUGGCUUUUGAUAGAUAUAUAGUUAAGGAUAGCCAUAUGGUGGGUUAAGUAAAAGCACAUAAUAAUGACAUUAGCUUUGGGUGGAUGUUGGUUCAUUUUGUUUCUCUUAUAAAAAAUGAUUCAUGUUUGUUUUCAUUGUGUCUUACAGGUAUCGUGUCCAGUCUCCCCACUCUCCCCUAUCUUUUUGGCCGCUCUGACUUUCCUGUCUCCUCCACCUCUCUGUCUUAUUGAAAAGCCACUCUAUCUUGUGUCCCCCUUUUCUCUAUCCCUCUAGCUAAAUUUUGGACGCUCUUACUUUCCUGUCUCCUCUACCGCUCUAUCUAAUUGAAAGCCACUCUAUCUUGUGUCCCCCUUUUCUCUAUCCCUCUGACUAAGUUUGGUUACUCUGACUUUCCUGUCUCCUCUACCGCUCUAUCUGAUUGAUCAGCUUUUCAGAAACCAUUGUGACAAGCCUUUCAGAAACCAUUGUGACAAGCUUUUCAGAAACCAGUGUACCAGAAACCUCUGAGAAACCAGUGUACCAGAAACCUCUGAGAAACCAGUGUACCAGAAACCUCUGAGAAACCAGUGUACUAGAAACCUUUCAGAAACCAGUGUACCAGAAACCUCUGAGAAACCAGUGUACCAGAAACCUCUGAGAAACCAGUGUACUAGAAACCUUUCAGAAACCAGUGUACCAGAAACCUCUGAGAAACCAGUGUACCAGAAACCUCUGAGAAACCAGUGUACCAGAAACCUCUGAGAAACCUAUUGAAGCAAGCUACCUUUUUUUGAGCAACCAUUGAAACAAGCUACCUUUGAGAAACCUAUUGAAACAAGCUACCUUAUUUUGAGAAACCAAACUUUUGAAAAGCUGUACAUUUAAUACAACCACUGUUUUGAAAAAUCCCCAAUUUUGCAAAAGUCUGACUGUUGUUCUAGGUCCUCCUUUCCUGUCUGUGGAUCCAGAGUUUCACCGGAAGUGUCAUCAGCACAACCACAUCUGCAUCCCUGAUUUUGAAAGAAAAAAAAAAGUUCCAUAUAGAAUAUUUGAGUUAGAUAUUAUUUCAAGCACAAAGCGCUAAGAUUUAAAAAUUGUUGUUGAUUUGUGUUUUUUCUGAAAACAUUUAUAUAGUCUUGUGUAGGAUUUUCUUAUAAAACAUUUGAUAAACUAUUGUAGUAUACACACAGUUAUAAAUUAAAUCUUUUUGGAGACUAUAAGAGCUGUUAAAUAACAUCUUCUUGAAG